RNAcentral lists this ribosomal RNA (377 nucleotides) under uncultured bacterium. Its description in RNAcentral is "bacterial SSU rRNA". It matches the Rfam family "Bacterial small subunit ribosomal RNA", at positions 30 to 418 of the family's 1533-position model. The record is from RNAcentral.
AUUGAACGCUGGCGGCGGGCUUAACACAUGCAAGUCGAGCGGGGCUUCGGUCCUAGCGGCGAACGGGUGAGGAAUGCCUGGGAAUCUGCCUGGUAGUGGGGGAGUAACGAUUCGAAAGGGUCGCUAAUACCGCAUACGUCCUACGGGAGAAAGCAGGGGACCUUCGGGCCUUGCGCUAUCAGAUGAGCCCAGGUCGGAUUAGCUAGUAGGUGAGGUAAAGGCUCACCUAGGCGACGAUCCGUAGCUGGUCUGAGAGGAUGAUCAGCCACACUGGAACUGAGACACGGUCCAGACUCCUACGGGAGGCAGCAGUGGGGGAAUAUUGGACAAUGGGCGAAAGCCUGAUCCAGCCAUGCCGCGUGUGUGAAGAAAGGCCU